This 499-nucleotide ribosomal RNA is filed under the name uncultured bacterium. RNAcentral's name for it is "partial 16S ribosomal RNA". It matches the Rfam family "Bacterial small subunit ribosomal RNA", at positions 28 to 507 of the family's 1533-position model. The record is from RNAcentral.
GACGAACGCUGGCGGCGUGCUUAACACAUGCAAGUCGAACGGGCCUGUCUUCUUUUUUGGGGGUGGGUUGAGUGGCGAACGGGUGAGUAUCACGUGAGUAACCUGCCCUUCGGCCCUGGAUAACCGCUUGAAAGGGCGGCUAAUACGGGGUGGUCCAGUUGGUCCGCAUGGGCUGGUCGGGAUAGAUUCACUGUUUUUGGUGUUUCGGCGGGGGAUGGGCUCGCGGCCUAUCAGCUUGUUGGUGGGGUGAUGGCCUACCAAGGCGGUGACGGGUAGCCGGCCUGAGAGGGUGGGCGGCCACACUGGGACUGAGAUACGGCCCAGACUCCUGCGGGAGGCAGCAGUGGGGGGUAUUGCACAAUGGGCGGAAGCCUGAUGCAGCGACGUCGCGUGAGGGAUGGAGGCCUUCGGGUUGUGAACCUCUGUUUCCGGUGGUGAAGGCCCUGUCCGUGUGGUGGGGUUGACGGUAGCCGGGGAUGAAGCGCCGGCUAACUACGUG